AUGCUACCCACAAACAUCAAAUUAACUUCACAGGAUGAUCAUCCUGGAAGUUUUUCGACCAUGAAGGCAAGGUUUGGGGUGGGUUUUGCAUUUUCUGCAGAGAGGGCAUCGUCGAAGUCGGUUCCAGAUCUUGGCUCUAUAAGGUUUCCCAUUUGCACGUGGAUGAACUUGUAUACGCCAUCCAUGUACGGUAUCGGGGGUACCAAAACCACAGGCUUAAAGAGUGUACAUGACCACAGGGUUUUAUUUGACUGUUUCUGGUCAGCCUCGGCCACAAUCCACGAACUGUCUUCGCUUGCCGCUCUCAAGUAUUUGUCGUUGUAG
Molecule: long non-coding RNA, 324 nt
Filed under: Prunus dulcis (almond)
Lineage: Eukaryota; Viridiplantae; Streptophyta; Magnoliopsida; Rosales; Rosaceae
Description: sRNA ncRNA
Source: RNAcentral